AAGAUACAAACUCCGCAAACGGUUACUAAGGAGAGGGUGGUAGGAAUGGGCGUUCCUUCGAAAAACUGAGACUUGCCAGAUCCAUCUUUAGGAAUGGAAUUGACAGAAACAUUAAAACGAGCCAAUCUAGUUAGACCACACAAAACAAAAAGGGAAAGUAUAACGGUAUCAAGGAACGUUUGGAAUCCACAACAAAAGGCAAAGACGGCUGGAGAUACGCCAAAUGAAAUCUAUUUUGUUAGUAUAAUGAUAUAAAAAGACCGGAUAAGAGAGAGAAAAAAUAUAUAUAAUCAAGAAUUAUACGCAAUCGCAUGUUUAUUGAGAAAAAUUCAGACUCAUUGAACAAACCGACAUAAUGUAAAAAACGAGAAGCAAAAAAAAAAAGCUCGACUUAGCUAAAAUGAAGAAAAAAUUCAACCAAAGAAGCCUCUUAUCAUGUUCCUCGUGUUUUUAUCAUGUCAAAGCAACCAAUGUGAAAAUAGUCUCGGAACAGAUUUGAGAAGUUAUACAUACCAGAUCAGCAAGACUAUCCAAUUCCUGACCCAUUAAGGAAGAUUUCCCACGCCAACGAGCCACUUUACCAUCCAAAAAGUCAAAAAACAACGCAAAUGGCAUAAAGUACAUUGCAUUCCAUAAAUGGAAAGCUGAUUGCUGUCCGCUUAGGCAGUAACGUAAACUUGAAAAUAUACUCAUGACACCGCAAAACCCGUUCAUUAAAGUAAUCAAGUCUGCAAGGUGGAGGGCUCUACAAUCCUCUAGUUAGUAUUUCAAGUAAUGAAUCCUUUUGCAAAGUCCUUUCGCAAUGGUGUAAACAAGAAUACGUAAAUCAUACCUAAUGAGUGAAAAAUGUCUAUUAUCAUUUACGUAGGCCAGUAACUUGUUCUCUUUAUCAUUGCUUUGGUUUGAUGCAUCGGAUUGUAAUUUCAAUCCAGGAGAAACUCGUGAUCUAACCAUCUUCCAAAAUUGGCAGUUUCUGGUUCUAAUUGUACCUGUUUAUUUACCGGAAGUCGAAUAACUAACAAAAAUAAGGCACCGCAGGGUAUCGUUAUGGUUGUGAUUGAGAAUUGUCUAGAAAUGCUUAGCGAUCCAGGCUUUGGAAUUCUUAUCAAUCUUUUAAUGUUUAUUUAUUAGCAUCGUUAAAACAGCAUUGUGCGUUCUGUUAUUUGAAUAAAAGUCGAAAAAGCUAAUCAAUGAAUAUAAAACGAGCGAAGUGUUUAAACUAUUUUCCAAGCUAAAUAUGGUGGUUUGUGGUUUUGAAUUACAUGAAGAAAAUAAGAAGAGGGAACGUACCACCGCUGAUAGGGGAUGCGGCAAUUUGUUGUAUGAUCCAGAUAUGUGUGCAUAAGGCAGUAGAAGGCAUCGAAGCAAGAUGAUUAAAAACCGAGUAAUGAAUGACCUUUGACAGUGUAUAUAGUACGUCUCAUUUAAAAUUCCAAGUUGGACCCAACUCAAAAAGAAACAAAUAUCACGAUCACAUUAAGGGCCAUUUUUCAUCUAACUUUCUAUUGUUAUUCGACUGGCAAAAAAUUGGGCUGUUGUGGGAAUCGAACCCACGACCACCAUCACCCUAAGAUGGU
Molecule: long non-coding RNA, 1577 nt
Filed under: Schizosaccharomyces pombe (fission yeast)
Lineage: Eukaryota; Fungi; Ascomycota; Schizosaccharomycetes; Schizosaccharomycetales; Schizosaccharomycetaceae
Source: RNAcentral